GGGCGGUUCGCAUAGCGGCAAUUGCUCGUGGUUGUAGCCCACGCGACGCAAGUCUCCGGGGGUUCGAGUCCCUCACCGCCCA
This 82-nucleotide transfer RNA is filed under the name Parcubacteria group bacterium RIFCSPHIGHO2_01_FULL_47_10b. Its description in RNAcentral is "tRNA-Tyr". It matches the Rfam family "tRNA". From Rfam's summary of the family: Transfer RNA (tRNA) molecules are approximately 80 nucleotides in length. Their secondary structure includes four short double-helical elements and three loops (D, anti-codon, and T loops). The record is from RNAcentral.